GGAUGUAAGGGCGAUCUGGCUGCGACAUCUGUCACCUCAUUGAUCGCCAAGGUUGAUUCGGCUGAUCUGGCUGGCUAGGCGGGUGUCCCCUUCCUCCCUCACCGCUCCAUGUGCGUCCCUCCAGAAGCUGUGCUUGGUCUAAGAGGAUGGCCUUCCCGGAAUAGAGACAGACCGGUCUUUCGUCAGGAGUAGCUGAGCUCUCCUGCUAGAACCUCCAAACAAGCUCUCAAGAAUGAUAAUUGGGCAUAGAUUACAUUAACAACAAAAUGAACAAUACAGAAAACAGGGUGACAGUUUUUUCUUAU
This is an unclassified non-coding RNA of Erinaceus europaeus (western European hedgehog), 305 nucleotides long. Its record names the gene 7SK. It matches the Rfam family "7SK RNA". From Rfam's summary of the family: 7SK was discovered as an abundant small nuclear RNA in the mid-70s but a possible function has only recently been suggested. Two independent studies have found that 7SK RNA binds the CDK9/cyclin T complex (known as elongation factor P-TEFb). Lineage: Eukaryota; Metazoa; Chordata; Mammalia; Eulipotyphla; Erinaceidae. The record is from Ensembl.